GCGGGCGUAGCUCAGUGGUAGAGCACAACCUUGCCAAGGUUGGGGUCGAGGGUUCAAAUCCCUUCGCCCGCUCCA
RNAcentral lists this transfer RNA (75 nucleotides) under Candidatus Finniella inopinata. RNAcentral describes it as "tRNA-Gly". It matches the Rfam family "tRNA". From Rfam's summary of the family: Transfer RNA (tRNA) molecules are approximately 80 nucleotides in length. Lineage: Bacteria; Pseudomonadati; Pseudomonadota; Alphaproteobacteria; Holosporales; Candidatus Paracaedibacteraceae. The record is from RNAcentral. RNAcentral also lists the same sequence under 2 other names.